Molecule: microRNA, 23 nt
Filed under: Patiria miniata (bat star)
Lineage: Eukaryota; Metazoa; Echinodermata; Asteroidea; Valvatida; Asterinidae
Description: Pmi-Mir-29-P2_5p* (star (passenger))
Source: RNAcentral
ACUGUUUUUUCUUGGUGCUUAGA